RNAcentral lists this ribosomal RNA (406 nucleotides) under uncultured bacterium. Its description in RNAcentral is "bacterial SSU rRNA". It matches the Rfam family "Bacterial small subunit ribosomal RNA", at positions 976 to 1380 of the family's 1533-position model. The record is from RNAcentral.
AGGACUUGACAUGAUAUUGACCGGUAUAGAGAUAUACCUUUCUCUUCGGAGACAGUAUUACAGGUGGUGCAUGGUUGUCGUCAGCUCGUGUCGUGAGAUGUUGGGUUAAGUCCCGCAACGAGCGCAACCCUUAUCUUUAGUUGCCAGCACGUAAUGGUGGGAACUCUAAAGAGACUGCCGUCGAUAAGACGGAGGAAGGUGGGGAUGACGUCAAAUCAUCAUGCCCUUUAUGUCCUGGGCUACACACGUGCUACAAUGGCUGACACAAAGAGACGCAAAACAGCGAUGUCAAGCAAAUCUCAUAAAGUCAGUCCCAGUUCGGAUUGUAGGCUGCAACUCGCCUACAUGAAGUCGGAGUUGCUAGUAAUCGCAGAUCAGAAUGCUGCGGUGAAUGCGUUCCCGGGUC